Zonotrichia albicollis (white-throated sparrow) is the source of this 614-nucleotide long non-coding RNA. Lineage: Eukaryota; Metazoa; Chordata; Aves; Passeriformes; Passerellidae. The record is from Ensembl.
CCAAAAUGGCACCAGGGGACACUGGGAUGGACAAGUGACACCAAAAUGGCACCAGGAUGGCACCAGGUGACACCAAAAUGGCUCCAGGAUGGCACCAGGUGACAUCAGGGUGGCCCAGGACGUGGCCAGGCGACACCGAAAUGGCACCAAGAUGGCACCAAGAUGGACAGGUGACACUGGGAUGGCAGCAGGUGACACCAGGACAGACUGUGGGCACACGGUGCUGUCCCCAAGGAGCCACCACAGUGACACUGAGAUGUCCCCAAGGAGCCACCACAGUGGCACGAUGCUGUCCUCAAGGGCCACCACAAGGACAACGUGUCCCCAGGGGCCACCACGGUGGCACUGAGAUGUCCCCAAGGAGCCAUCGAGGUGACAGUGGUGUCUCCAAAGGCCACCACGGUGACACUGGGAUGUCCCCAAGGAGCCGCCACCAGCACAACGUGUCCCCAAGGGCCACUGUGGUGACAGUGGUGUCCCCAAGGAUCUGGGUUGGUGGCACCGUGUCCCCAAGGGUCACCACGGUGGCACUGAGAUGUCCCCAAGGAGCCACCACAAGGACAAUCUGUCCCCAAGGGCCACCAUGGUGACAAUAAAAUGUCCCCAAGGAGCCA